UGGGGAAUAUUGCACAAUGGGGGAAACCCUGAUGCAGCGACGCCGCGUGAGCGAAGAAGGUUUUCGAAUCGUAAAGCUCUGUCCUAUGAGAAGAUAAUGACGGUAUCAUAGGAGGAAGCCCCGGCUAAAUACGUGCCAGCAGCCGCGGUAAUACGUAUGGGGCGAGCGUUGUCCGGAAUUAUUGGGCGUAAAGAGCUUGUAGGCGGUUCGUCGCGUCUGGUGUGAAAGCCCAUCGCUUAACGGUGGGUUUGCGCCGGGUACGGGCGGGCUAGAGUGCAGUAGGGGAGACUGGAAUUCCCGGUGUAACGGUGGAAUGUGUAGAUAUCGGGAAGAACACCAAUGGCGAAGGCAGGUCUCUGGGCUGUUACUGACGCUGAGAAGCGAAAGCGUGGGGAGCGAACAGG
This 404-nucleotide ribosomal RNA is filed under the name Verrucomicrobiota bacterium. RNAcentral describes it as "Verrucomicrobia bacterium partial 16S ribosomal RNA". It matches the Rfam family "Bacterial small subunit ribosomal RNA", at positions 355 to 776 of the family's 1533-position model. Lineage: Bacteria; Pseudomonadati; Verrucomicrobiota. The record is from RNAcentral.